This is a small nucleolar RNA of Vitis vinifera (wine grape), 81 nucleotides long. It matches the Rfam family "Small nucleolar RNA R160". Rfam says of the family: snoR160 is a C/D box small nucleolar RNA, which acts as a methylation guide for 25S ribosomal RNA in plants. snoR160 has been alternatively named snoZ270 in rice. NCBI's taxonomy places the organism in Eukaryota, Viridiplantae, Streptophyta, Magnoliopsida, Vitales, Vitaceae. The record is from Rfam.
AGCAAAAUGAUGAGGUAGUGAGAUCUGAAAUUGAUGUGGAAAGAUAGAGAAUAAUAUGGUCUUCAAAGUUCUCUGAUUGCU